Molecule: ribosomal RNA, 440 nt
Filed under: uncultured bacterium
Lineage: Bacteria
Description: partial 16S ribosomal RNA
Rfam family: Bacterial small subunit ribosomal RNA
Source: RNAcentral
CCUACGGGAGGCAGCAGUGGGGAAUAUUGCACAACGGGGGGAACCCUGAUGCAGCGACGCCGCGUGAGUGAAGAAGUAUUUCGGUAUGUAAAGCUCUAUCAGCAGGGAAGAAAAUGACGGUACCUGACUAAGAAGCCCCGGCUAACUACGUGCCAGCAGCCGCGGUAAUACGUAGGGGGCAAGCGUUAUCCGGAUUUACUGGGUGUAAAGGGAGCGCAGACGGCUGUGCAAGUCUGGAUUGAAAGGCGGGGGCCCAACCCCCGGACUGCUGUGGAAACUGUAAGUCUGGUGUGCAGGAGAGGUAGGCGGAAUUCGUAGGGUAGCGGUGAAAUGCAUAGAUAUUAGGAGGAACACCAGUGGCGAAGGCGGCUGACUGGACUCAAACUGACGUUGAGGCUCGAAAGCGUGGGGAGCAAACAGGAUUAGAUACCCUAGUAGUC